This 91-nucleotide microRNA precursor is filed under the name Lucilia cuprina (Australian sheep blowfly). RNAcentral's name for it is "microRNA mir-31". It matches the Rfam family "mir-31 microRNA precursor family". The record is from RNAcentral. Lineage: Eukaryota; Metazoa; Arthropoda; Insecta; Diptera; Calliphoridae.
CAAUUAAGGAACUUGGCAAGAUGUCGGAAUAGCUGAUUGUGUGUUAAGUUUUCAAAUUUCACGGCUAUGCCUCAUCUAGUCAAUUGCUUUA